GCUUAACGCGAAGAACCUUACCAGGUCUUGACAUCCCAAUGACCGCUCUAGAGAUAGAGUUUUCCCUUCGGGGACAUUGGUGACAGGUGGUGCAUGGUUGUCGUCAGCUCGUGUCGUGAGAUGUUGGGUUAAGUCCCGCAACGAGCGCAACCCUUAUUCUUAGUUGCCAUCAUUUAGUUGGGCACUCUAAGGAGACUGCCGGUGACAAACCGGAGGAAGGUGGGGAUGACGUCAAAUCGUCAUGCCCCUUAUGACCUGGGCUACACACGUGCUACAAUGGACGGUACAAAGAGCUGCGAACCCGCGAGGGUAAGCCAAUCUCAUAAAACCAUUCUCAGUUCGGAUUGUAGUCUGCAACUCGACUACAUGAAGCCGGAAUCGCUAGUAAUCGCGGAUCAGCAUGCCGCGGUGAAUACGUUCCCGGGUCUUGUACACACCG
Molecule: ribosomal RNA, 439 nt
Filed under: uncultured bacterium
Lineage: Bacteria
Description: bacterial SSU rRNA
Rfam family: Bacterial small subunit ribosomal RNA
Source: RNAcentral